UAUAGAUGGUUCUGCUAUCAGUUCUAUUCUGUAUAGAUGGUUCUGCUAUCAGUUCUAUUCUGUAUAGAUGGUUCUGCUAUCAGUUCUAUUCUGUAUAGAUGGUUCUGCUAUCAGUACUAUUCUGUAUAGAUGGUUCUGCUAUCAGUUCUAUACUGUAUAGAUGGUUCUGCUAUAUGUCAGUUCUAUACUGUAUUGAUGGUCCUGCUAUCAGUUCUAUACUGUAUAGAUGGUUCUGCUAUCAGUUCUAUACUGUGUAGAUGGUCCUGCUAUCAGUUCUAUACUGUAUUGAUGGUCCUGCUAUCAGUUCUAUACUGUAUAGAUGGUUCUGCUAUCAGUUCUAUACUGUAUAGAUGGUUCUGCUAUCAGUUCUAUACUGUGUAGAUGGUUCUGCUAUCAGUUCUAUACUGUAUAGAUGGCUCUGCUAUAUGUCAGUUCUAUACUGUAUAGAUUGUUCUGCUAUCAGUUCUAUGCUGUAUAGAUGGUUCUGCUAUAUGUCAGUUCUGUUCUGUAUAGAUGGUUCUGCUAUAUGUCAGUUCUAUACUAUAUAGAUGGUUCUGCUAUCAGUUCUAUACUGUAUAGAUGGUUCUGCUAUAUGUCAGUUCUAUACUGUAUUGAUGGUCCUGCUAUCAGUUCUAUACUGUAUAGAUGGUUCUGCUAUAUGUCAGUUCUGUUCGGUAUAGAUGGUUCUGCUAUAUGUCAGUUCUAUACUGUAUUGAUGGUUCUGCUAUCAUUUCUAUACUGUGUAGAUGGUUCUGCUAUCAGUUCUAUACUGUGUAGAUGGUUCUGCUAUCAGUUCUAUACUGUAUAGAUGGUUCUGCUAUCAGUUCUAUACUGUGUAGAUGGUUCUGCUAUAUGUCAGUUCUUUUCUGUAUAGAUGGUUCUGCUAUAUGUCAGUUCUGUUCUGUAUAGAUGGCUCUGCUAUAUGUGAAUAUGUGAAUAAAAU
Molecule: long non-coding RNA, 943 nt
Filed under: Salmo salar (Atlantic salmon)
Lineage: Eukaryota; Metazoa; Chordata; Actinopteri; Salmoniformes; Salmonidae
Description: lncRNA (ENSSSAG00000117159.1)
Source: RNAcentral